CCCUCCCUCGCAGUCGCAGUCCCCCCAGCGCCUGGCCGGCGGCUCGGGCGGGGAGGCCCAGCUACGGCGCGCCUCAGCGGGAGUUCCGGGAGGUUGCGGGGGGGGUCAAGGGCGGAGCAAGCCAGGGACCCCCCCCCCCCGCCUGCAGUAUGCUUGGUCCCUGCUCCCAGCAGCCGAGCGCAGCAGGGGAGAGGCCUGAGCCUCCACCCCACAGAUUCAGGACAAUGCAACUGGGGCAGAAGAGUAAUGUUUGGCUUGAAUGUUGAGUAAGAACAGGAGGUGAAAGCCAUACGAGAAAUGGGACUGUCCAGUUUGGCCAAUGUACAAAGCAGAGGGGCAUUGCUGGCACAUGAUGGCAUAUAUUACAUUGGCACCGCGUACCGGCUCGGCUUACUUUCACCUCUGGAAAGAUGCAGUACAAGUAGUUGCAAGGGGAAAUUUGGAGGCAAAUGCUGAUUUAAAGGUGUUUAAUACCACUUUAUGUAAUCAAUUACCCAAGGGAGAACAUUGGAAAAAAAUGCUGUACUUCUAAAAUACUCACAUAUGGAAGAAUAUAAAUAAAACAGCAACUGUGCAUCCAGAGUAUCAUCAAACUAUAUUUGCAAAUUUAUUUUCUAUUAAAAGGCAAUAUUUCAUUAUAA
Long non-coding RNA from Dermochelys coriacea (leatherback sea turtle), 641 nucleotides. RefSeq lists it as uncharacterized. The transcript is spliced from 3 exons. The record is from RefSeq and is a predicted model, not a curated record. Lineage: Eukaryota; Metazoa; Chordata; Testudines; Dermochelyidae.